GGAUGUGAGGGCGAUCUGGUUGCGACAUCUGUCACCCCAUUGAUCGCCAGGGUUGAUUUGGCUGAUCUGGCUGGCUAGGCGGGUGUCCCCUUCCUCCCUCACCACUCCAUGUGUGUCCCUCCCGAAGCUGCACACUCGGUCAAAGAGGACAACCAUCCCCGAUAGAGGACCGUUCUUCGGUCAAGGGUAUACGAGUAGCGGCGCCCCCCCUGCUAGAACCUCCAAACAAGCUCUCAUAUGUGCAUACAAGACUUGGGUCAUUUCUCACCCUG
Molecule: small nuclear RNA, 272 nt
Filed under: Castor canadensis (American beaver)
Lineage: Eukaryota; Metazoa; Chordata; Mammalia; Rodentia; Castoridae
Description: 7SK RNA (ENSCCNG00000010072.1)
Rfam family: 7SK RNA
About the family: 7SK was discovered as an abundant small nuclear RNA in the mid-70s but a possible function has only recently been suggested. Two independent studies have found that 7SK RNA binds the CDK9/cyclin T complex (known as elongation factor P-TEFb).
Source: RNAcentral